UGCCAGCCGCCGCGGUAAUACGAAGGGUGCAAGCGUUGUUCGGAUUUAUUGGGCGUAAAGCGCGCGCAGGCGGACUGGUAAGUCAGAUGUGAAAUCUCGGGGCUCAACCCCGAAACUGCGUCUGAAACUGCUAGUCUAGAAUCUCGGAGAGGAAAGGGGAAUUUCGCAUGUAGGGGUAAAAUCCGUAGAGAUGCGAAGGAACACCAGGGGCGAAGGCGGCUUUCUGGACCGAUACUGACGCUGAGACGCGAAAGCGUGGGGAGCAAACAGGAUUAGAUA
RNAcentral lists this ribosomal RNA (279 nucleotides) under uncultured bacterium. Its description in RNAcentral is "partial 16S ribosomal RNA". It matches the Rfam family "Bacterial small subunit ribosomal RNA", at positions 506 to 784 of the family's 1533-position model. The record is from RNAcentral.